UCCCAGGAGCCCAUCCAUGCCCAUGCACAGGGCUCGAUGACACUUGCCAUAGAAAGACCUCAAGGUCACUGAGUGUGCUCCCUCACCAUCAGGGACAGUGUUGCCAGCAAGUCAGGCAUUCCAGUGCCCAGCCUCUCGCAGUUCUCCCCCAGGAGUGUGUACACAAGCGUGUCCUCCAGGCUUGGGCUUACCCUCCACUUCCGUCUCUAUCUCUGUUGCAGGAAGAGAUGAAGCACUGCAGAGGAAAGCCCAAAGUGAGCGCUGGAAAUCCAAACAGGAGGAGGAAAAAAGCAGCCAGAUAGCCUCAAGAGAUGAGGCUGAGACAAGACGGACAGGAAGAAACAAGGAACCGUUCAUUGAGCUUCCUGUGCCCCUAACAAUAUCAUUGUCUGGUUGGGAAUCAGAGCAAG
RNAcentral lists this long non-coding RNA (410 nucleotides) under Homo sapiens (human). RNAcentral describes it as "HSALNT0167146". The record is from RNAcentral. Lineage: Eukaryota; Metazoa; Chordata; Mammalia; Primates; Hominidae.